This 87-nucleotide transfer RNA is filed under the name Salinarimonas soli. Its description in RNAcentral is "Salinarimonas sp. BN140002 tRNA-Leu". It matches the Rfam family "tRNA". Rfam says of the family: Transfer RNA (tRNA) molecules are approximately 80 nucleotides in length. Lineage: Bacteria; Pseudomonadati; Pseudomonadota; Alphaproteobacteria; Hyphomicrobiales; Salinarimonadaceae. The record is from RNAcentral.
GCGGACGUGGCGAAAUCGGUAGACGCAAGAGACUUAAAAUCUCUCGGGCUCACGCCCGUGCGGGUUCGAGCCCCGCCGUCCGCACCA